This is a non-coding RNA of Arvicanthis niloticus (Nile rat), 166 nucleotides long. The record is from RefSeq and is a predicted model, not a curated record. Lineage: Eukaryota; Metazoa; Chordata; Mammalia; Rodentia; Muridae.
CAAAAAGCCAUGCAGAGGAGAUCAGUACUAUGGUCCUGAAGGUCGAUUUCCCACAUGAGGCUGAUUCACUGUACUCUGGAUGUGCUGACCCCUACAAUUUUCCCCAAAUACAGGGAGACUUGACUGUGUAAUUUGUGGUAGUUGGGAACUGCAUUUGCAAUCUACC